This 253-nucleotide ribosomal RNA is filed under the name uncultured bacterium. Its description in RNAcentral is "partial 16S ribosomal RNA". It matches the Rfam family "Bacterial small subunit ribosomal RNA", at positions 524 to 776 of the family's 1533-position model. The record is from RNAcentral.
UACAGAGGGUGCAAACGUUGCUCGGAAUCAUUGGGCGUAAAGCGCGUGUAGGCGGCUUUGCAAGUCGGAUGUGAAAGCCCACGGCUCAACCGUGGAAGUGCAUCCGAAACUGCAUGGCUCGAGUCUCGGAGAGGAAGGUGGAAUGCUUGGUGUAGAGGUGAAAUUCGUAGAUAUCAAGCAGAACACCUGCGGCGAAGGCGGCCUUCUGGACGAUGACUGACGCUGAGACGCGAAAGCGUGGGGAGCAAACAGG